This 99-nucleotide transfer RNA is filed under the name Roseitalea sp. Its description in RNAcentral is "tRNA-OTHER". It matches the Rfam family "tRNA". From Rfam's summary of the family: Transfer RNA (tRNA) molecules are approximately 80 nucleotides in length. Their secondary structure includes four short double-helical elements and three loops (D, anti-codon, and T loops). The record is from RNAcentral. Lineage: Bacteria; Pseudomonadati; Pseudomonadota; Alphaproteobacteria; Hyphomicrobiales; Ahrensiaceae.
UGCGACGUAGUUCAAAAGGAAGAACACUUUGCUUUCUACCCAACCGCCUCGAUGCGGUCGGGGGCGGAGAGGUUGUGGGUUCGAGUCCCGCCGUCGCAC